Molecule: long non-coding RNA, 406 nt
Organism: Myxocyprinus asiaticus (Chinese sucker)
Lineage: Eukaryota; Metazoa; Chordata; Actinopteri; Cypriniformes; Catostomidae
Exons: 3
Source: RefSeq, a predicted model, not a curated record
AUUCUGACUUCCUUAAAACGAUGAACAGUCCUUGAAAUGGUCUAUAACGUUUAUCGUGAUAUUUUUGAAGGAAAUCCAUACUUUAGAAAUUGGUGAACCAAGAAAAUAUCAGGACAAGCUGCUGGACAACCAAAACCUUGUUAAAUCAGUAUUCAGAAACUUGGAGAAAGUGGUGUGUAAAUGUGCUCCUGGUUACACGCAAACAGGUGGCAGUCCAACAUCGUUCUGUGUUAAUGGACAGUGGACACCCUUGAACAUGCAAUUUGAACGUUCUCCACCUGCUGCUGACAUCUCAAUCUAACCCAUCCUCAGUAAAAUGUCCAGUCACUGACAUGCCCAAUGGUAUGGUAGUCAAUGCUAAGGGUUCUCCAUGUGAGGCUUUAACACUGGUGUCCAGAUCACCUGC